UACGAAGGGGGCAAGCGUUGUUCGGAAUUACUGGGCGUAAAGCGUGCGCAGGCGGCUUCCCAAGUCAGUGGGGAAAGCCCGGAGCUCAACUCCGGAAAUGCCAUUGAAACUGUGAAGCUCGAGAACGAGAGAGGUGAGUGGAAUUCCCAGUGUAGAGGUGAAAUUCGUAGAUAUUGGGAAGAACACCAGUGGCGAAGGCGGCUCACUGGCUCGUAACUGACGCUCAUGCACGACAGCGUGGGGAUCAAACAGG
This 253-nucleotide ribosomal RNA is filed under the name uncultured bacterium. RNAcentral describes it as "partial 16S ribosomal RNA". It matches the Rfam family "Bacterial small subunit ribosomal RNA", at positions 524 to 776 of the family's 1533-position model. The record is from RNAcentral.